CAGCCGCCACGGGAAUACGUAGGUGGCAAGCGUUGUCCGGAAUUAUUGGGCGUAAAGGGCUCGCAGGCGGUUUCUUAAGUCUGAUGUGAAAGCCCCCGGCUCAACCGGGGAGGGUCAUUGGAAACCGGGAAACUUGAGUGCAGAAGAGGAGAGUGGAAUUCCACGUGUAGCGGUGAAAUGCGUAGAGAUGUGGAGGAACACCAGUGGCGAAGGCGACUCUCUGGUCUGUAACUGACGCUGAGGAGCGAAAGCGUGGGGAGCGAACAGGAUUAGAUACCCCCGUAGUCCCUGUCUCUUAUAC
Molecule: ribosomal RNA, 301 nt
Filed under: uncultured bacterium
Lineage: Bacteria
Description: partial 16S ribosomal RNA
Rfam family: Bacterial small subunit ribosomal RNA
Source: RNAcentral